GAUGAAGAACGUAGCGAAAUGCGAUAAGUAGUGUGAAUUGCAGAAUUCAGUGAAUCAUCGAAUCUUUGAACGCACAUUGCGCCCCUUGGUAUUCCAUGGGGCAUGCCUGUUCGAGCGUCAUUUGUACCUUCAAGCUCUGCUUGGUGUUGGGUGUUUGUCCUGAGGGACUCGCCUUAAAGUAAUUGGCAGCCAGUGUUUGGUUUUGAAGCGCAGCACAAGUCGCGAUUCAAGGCUAUACACCAGCUUCCACAAGCCUUUUUCACUUUUGACCUCGGAUCAGGUAGGGAUACCCGCUGAACUUAAGCAUAUCAAUAAGCGGAGGA
Molecule: unclassified non-coding RNA, 323 nt
Filed under: soil metagenome
Description: partial contains 5.8S ribosomal RNA, internal transcribed spacer 2, and large subunit ribosomal RNA
Rfam family: 5.8S ribosomal RNA (bases 1-120)
Source: RNAcentral